AAAGCGUGCGCAGGCGGUUAUAUAAGACAGAUGUGAAAUCCCCGGGCUCAACCUGGGAACUGCAUUUGUGACUGUAUAGCUAGAGUACGGUAGAGGGGGAUGGAAUUCCGCGUGUAGCAGUGAAAUGCGUAGAUAUGCGGAGGAACACCGAUGGCGAAGGCAAUCCCCUGGACCUGUACUGACGCUCAUGCACGAAAGCGUGGGGAGCAAACAGGAUUAGAUACCCUUGU
RNAcentral lists this ribosomal RNA (230 nucleotides) under uncultured bacterium. RNAcentral's name for it is "partial 16S ribosomal RNA". It matches the Rfam family "Bacterial small subunit ribosomal RNA", at positions 562 to 791 of the family's 1533-position model. The record is from RNAcentral.